GACGAACGCUGGCGGCGUGCUUAACACAUGCAAGUCGAACGGAAAGGCCCUGCUUGUGUGGGGUGCUCGAGUGGCGAACGGGUGAGUAACACGUGAGUAACCUGCCCUUGACUUUGGGAUAACUUCAGGAAACUGGGGCUAAUACCGGAUAGGAGCUCCCGCUGCAGGGUGGGGGUUGGAAAGUUUCGGCGGUUGGGGAUGGACUGGCGGCUUAUCAGCUUGCUGGUGGGGUAGUGGCUUACCAAGGCUUUGACGGGUAGCCGGCCUGAGAGGGUGACCGGCCACAUUAGGACUGAGAUACGGCGCAGACUCCUACGGGGGGCAGCAGUGGGGAAUAUUGCACAAUGGGAGGAAGCCUGAUGCAGCAACGCCGCGGGCGGGAUGACGGUCUUCGGGUUGUAAAACGCUUUAGCCUGUGACGAAGCGUGAGUGACGGUAAUGGGUAAAGAAGCACCGGCUAACUACGUG
RNAcentral lists this ribosomal RNA (468 nucleotides) under uncultured bacterium. Its description in RNAcentral is "partial 16S ribosomal RNA". It matches the Rfam family "Bacterial small subunit ribosomal RNA", at positions 28 to 507 of the family's 1533-position model. The record is from RNAcentral.